Zingiber officinale is the source of this 3312-nucleotide long non-coding RNA. RefSeq lists it as uncharacterized. The transcript has 6 exons. Lineage: Eukaryota; Viridiplantae; Streptophyta; Magnoliopsida; Zingiberales; Zingiberaceae. The record is from RefSeq and is a predicted model, not a curated record.
UUUGUCCGGCGCCAGGAAAUUGGACAAAUUUUGGAAAUAAUAGUGUUUCUUCUUCUCUUUUUUUCCCCUCCCUUGUGUCAUCAAUCAUGUUCUUGUACAGUGCCUCCGUAGGAUUUUGACAUCAUAUUAAUGAUAAUCCCCUAUGGAUUUGAAAUCAUAUCGUCUACUUUCUCAGUGCAUAUGGCGUGCCGCUGCUAAUUCUCUACUUUUAUAUUCGUUUGCUGUGUGCUUGCGAUGUGCACUUGAUCUGCAAGUUACAAAAGUCGCAACCGUCAACUCAACUGAUUCUGCAACCACCGAAUGAAAAGCGUUCCAAUGGCUUUACAGUGGGGCCACUCCGUGGGGCCCACGUCCUCCUCUUGUACUCAUGCGACGCUGACGUUUCGUCCUCAUGAACAAAUCUCUAUCGUUGAUUUUCUCCCUUAUCUUUAGUGUUUAGACAAGGAAACAGUCUCUUUCUCAAACCUGCUGCUGAUUCGAAGAAACUGGCAACCCAAACACAUGCAAGGAGUCGGCAUUCUUGCUGGUCAAAAGACGAGAUAAGGCAGAAUGCUUAAGGCCAAGUGAUACAGAUUGUGGAGUGUGGCAUUUAGCAACACUGUCAAGGACAGAAAACACGUUCGUGGUUGAGCUCCAGAUGUCGGUUGGUUGUCUCCGGAGAUAACAACUCGAGCCAGACCAUGUGAAAGAAAAUAACAAGAAAAUGAAAUUACUGCUGCUUGCUACUUCCUAACUCAAAUUCUCAUAACUGAGGAACGGAGCAGGCUCCGGAUGAUCUCAGCCUCGGCGCUGUUGGUGUCGACGGUCUCCAUGAGCGCGGAGAGUCGGUCGCUGAGGUCGUCCACCUCCCUGUUCAGGCUCCGGAUGUAGUUGCAGGUCUCCUUGAGUAACUUGGCUGCCGACGCCUGCACAAGAGCACAACUCAAGCUAUCAAUAUCUGAAAAAGCUAUUAAAUCCCUUUUUCAUAUAUGCAAUGAGAAUGCAGUGGAUUUAACAAGUACAAUGCCAAUUAAAGUUGAUGUCAGAAACCCGAACAGAAGAGGAAAAUCAAGCAUCACUUGAAGGCCUUUACCAAUGACCAUCAUCUUCAAAUCCUGUUUCAUCUGAAAAGCUCUUGAAAAAAAAGAGACAGGGAAAAAAAAGGUAGAAAACCUUUGGGGAGGAAGAGGAAAGAGAAAAGACUUAGAUCUAGCUAAUACUUUAAUAGUGGACUGAUCAGUAAGAAAGGAGCAGAAAGUGUCAAAUAACUUUUGACCACACCAUUAGACCUGGAAAAUAGAGUUCGCGACUUGCACACACAAUUUAAAAUCACUGUAUUGCAAAAUCUUUCUCAACGGACCACUGCAAGAUCUGAUGGUCCACUUGCUGUCCAGAACUGAUAGUGCUAUACUGCUUCAUCAAACUUGGGAGAAAUUGUUGCUGUGUUGCUUAGAUAACUGAGCCCUAACCUUCACGUCAUCUUUUAUAAUGUUCAACUGAGUUCGAUGCCUGAGAAUUGUCGAAUAUGAAACUUGAAGGUCUACUGUAUUGCUUAUAGUUUGGUCUAGCUAGGUGAAAUAAUGAUGGUUUGUGUCCAAUUGGUUUGAUCGAUUAACUUGAUUGUCUAAUGCCAGUCAUUUUGAUCCAAAAAGUAGUAUGCAUUAUACUCAAGUGCUCCUUUAAUUGUGUCAGUAUUGAGAAAUGACAAGGCUGUGAAUUGACAAACGAAGAAGAGGAAAAUCAACAAAGGAGGGAACCCCUAGAUUGAUUAGUGAUACGGUAAAUAAGGUGGGCUCCGAGUCAGGGUUGAAGUUAAGAAGGCCGAUUAAUUUAGCAGUCAAAGUCAAAAAGGAGUCAACAUUUGGGAUUAGCAGAGUCAUUUGGUUCGACUAAGUAGUCUAGUUGAUUCGACCACUGGGUCGAUUGGACGCCGAGUCAAUAGAGUCGACGAAAUCUCGAGCUGUAUCAAUGACAUUUAGAGAUGAUUCAUGUGCCUCUGCCAAGUGCUCUGGCUGAUCGGACCAAAGGUUCGAUCGGACAUGCUGGACACUUGGCCCAACCAGAUCAGACUCUUUACACAAGUGUGAAGGCUAAGCAUCGACCGAGUCCUUAAGAGUAACACUCAUCCUUUAUUCCACCCGAUUGUGCCCGCAAACAAGAGUCGAUCGGACUACAAAGGAGAAUCGGUCUGCCGACCAACCUAUCCAAUAAGCAUAUAGGUGGCUCACAUACUCAAUAACUUAAUAUUCCUUCUUGGCAUUUUGUGUAAUGAUUGUUAGAGAAUCAAUGAAAUAUUCCCUGUGCAGUUUAUGUGAGGUGCUUCUACACUACGAAACCCAGAAAUGAUGGGUCAAUUUUUGAAAAGUUGUCAAAAUGACAGGACUUGCCCAUUUUUGGUAAUGCCUCGAGAUUUGUGUAGAGAGUAAAAUUAACACUAUAACGAGGGUCUCCAUCUAUAAGCACACGUACGUUACAUUAUGCGACGUAACCUAAGGCACCUAGAUUCCAUUAUUCUCCACUACUAUUCAUUGCAUUUUCUCUCGGACGCCUGUUUGACUUGAGCAUCAAAUUGUCUACGUCGGGGACCUUUCCCUGGCCUGGUUGCUGACCUUCUUUUCCUCUAAUUUUUGUUUUUGACACGCAGGAUCACACAACAUCUUCUAUUUCUAGCACAGAGUCUUUUCACAAUCAAUUUCAGAGCCACGUGCCCAUUGUUUUAUCUUCCCCGAUUUCAGACAUGAUCAAAUUUGGUGUCGUCUGCGGAAAUUUUAACUUGAAUCUGAAACGCGGAGAUGAAAGAGACUGAACGACUUACUACAGUUACUUUAUUGUAAGAAGACUUGGAGUUGUUAAUAGACGUUCAAGCGUAGAGAUUGGUACAAUAAUAACAAGCAACAGUCGGGUGUCCAUUGUCAAAUGACUUGGAUGCAUCAAUGACUGACCCUCAUAACAAGCGAAGGACCCAAGUGGAAGGGUCGACUGGGUUCCCCCCGCUCCUCCUCCUCUAGUGGAAACUAUUUGCAAUCUUAUCGAGCUUGAGGGCAUGCUUGUAUGACAUAAAUAUAUGCAUCUUGUCGAGUAUUCGUGCUCAAUGAAAAUGCAAUCAAACUCCACUCAAAAUGCCCAUAUAUUCUAGACUCUCGUGUCGUUUGGUCGAAUUAUAAGUGAAUUUGCUCUCAUAUCUAAGUUCCAGACUUGCGUGUCAUUCGACUAAAUUAUAAUCGAGCUUGCUCUUGCGCUUAUGUCCCAGACUCUAGCAUCAUUCGGCCGAGUUAUAAGCGAGCUUGCUCUUGCGCCUAAGUUCCAAACUCUCGUGUUGUUCGACCGAGUUAU